AUAACGCGUGAGAAUCUGCCAACGGGACGGGGAUAACAGGGGGAAACCGCUGCUAAGACCCGAUAAACCGAAAGGGGAAAAAGAAAUUGCCAGUUGAUGAGCUCGCGUCGGAUUAGCUAGUUGGUAGGGUAAAGGCGUACCAAGGCGACGAUCCGUAGCCGGUCUGAGAGGACGAUCGGCCACACUGGGACUGAGACACGGCCCAGACUCCUACGGGAGGCAGCAGUGGGGAAUUUUCCGCAAUGGGCGAAAGCCUGACGGAGCAAGACCGCGUGAGGGAGGAAGGCUCUUGGGUUGUAAACCUCUUUUCUCAAGGAAGAAGCAAUGACGGUACUUGAGGAAUCAGCAUCGGCUAACUCCGUGCCAGCAGCCGCGGUAAUACGGAGGAUGCAAGCGUUAUCCGGAAUGAUUGGGCGUAAAGCGUCCGCAGGUGGCAGUUCAAGUCUGCCGUUAAAGACUCCAGCUUAACUGGAGGAAGGCGGUGGAAACUGAACAGCUAGAGUGCGGUAGGGGCAGAGGGAAUUCCCGGUGUAGCGGUGAAAUGCGUAGAGAUCGGGAAGAACACCAGUGGCGAAAGCGCUCUGCUGGACCGCAACUGACACUCAGGGACGAAAGCUAGGGGAGCGAAUGGGAUUAGAUACCCCAGUAGUCCUAGCCGUAAACGAUGGAUACUAGGUGUUGUGCGUAUCGACCCGCGCAGUGCCGCAGCUAACGCGCUAAGUAUCCCGCCUGGGGAGUACGCACGCAAGUGUGAAACUCAAAGGAAUUGACGGGGGCCCGCACAAGCGGUGGAGUAUGUGGUUUAAUUCGAUGCAACGCGAAGAACCUUACCAGGACUUGACAUGUCCGGAAUCCUUGGGAAACCAGGGAGUGCCUUCGGGAACCGGAACACAGGUGGUGCAUGGCUGUCGUCAGCUCGUGUCGUGAGAUGUUGGGUUAAGUCCCGCAACGAGCGCAACCCUCGUUUCUAGUUGCCAGCAUUAAGUUGGGCACUCUGGAGAGACUGCCGGUGACAAACCGGAGGAAGGUGGGGAUGACGUCAAGUCAGCAUGCCCCUUACGUUCUGGGCUACACACGUACUACAAUGCUUCAGACAAAGGGCAGCCAGCCAGCGAUGGUCAGCAAAUCCCAGAAA
Molecule: ribosomal RNA, 1135 nt
Filed under: Cephalothrix aff. lacustris LEGE 15487
Lineage: Bacteria; Bacillati; Cyanobacteriota; Cyanophyceae; Aerosakkonematales; Aerosakkonemataceae
Description: bacterial SSU rRNA
Rfam family: Bacterial small subunit ribosomal RNA
Source: RNAcentral